AAUGAACGUUGGCGGCGUGGAUUAGGCAUGCAAGUCGAGCGAUAACCGUAGCAAUACGGCGAAAGCGGCGAAAGGGAGAGUAACACGCGGGUACCUGCCCCCGGAUCCGGGAUAGCUACGGGAAACUGUAGGUAAUACCGGAUAACGUCUCCGGACCAAAGGUGUGAUUCCGUCCGGGGAGGGGCCCACGUCCUAUUAGCUAGUUGGCGAGGUAACGGCUCACCAAGGCUGUGAUGGGUACGGGGUGUGAGAGCAUGCCCCCGCUCACUGGGACUGAGACACUGCCCAGACACCUACGGGUGGCUGCAGUCGAGAAUCUUCGGCAAUGGGCGCAAGCCUGACCGAGCGACGCCGCGUGCGAGAUGAAGGCCUUCGGGUUGUAAAUCGCUGUCGUAGGGGAGGAAAUGCCGGUGGGUUCUCCCAUCGGUUUGACCUAUCCUAGGAGGAAGGACGGGCUAAGUUCGUGCCAGCAGCCGCAGUAA
RNAcentral lists this ribosomal RNA (482 nucleotides) under uncultured bacterium. RNAcentral describes it as "partial 16S ribosomal RNA". It matches the Rfam family "Bacterial small subunit ribosomal RNA", at positions 28 to 523 of the family's 1533-position model. The record is from RNAcentral.